GGGGGGCUGUGUGCUGUGUUAAUUGAUAUUAGAGCCCCCUCCAGAUUUGAACUGGGACCAUUUCUCCCCAUCCCCUACCUGCACAGGGAUUGUUAAACAAGUCUGGGCCUGUCCUUGUGUCCCAGGCAAUGUAAGCGUUGUCCCCACCUCUCACUCCAGCAGGAAGAACCGGACCCGGCGAACCUGGAAGUGGACCAUGAUUUCUUCCAGGACAAGGUGUGGCCCCAUUUGGCCCUGAGGGUCCCAGCUUUUGAGACUCUGAAGGUUCAGAGCGCCUGGGCCGGCUAUUACGACUACAACACCUUUGACCAGAAUGGCGUGGUGGGCCCCCACCCGCUAGUUGUCAACAUGUACUUUGCUACUGGCUUCAGUGGUCACGGGCUCCAGCAGGCCCCUGGCGUUGGGCGAGCUGUAGCAGAGAUGGUACUGAAGGGCAGGUUCCAGACCAUCGACCUGAGCCCCUUCCUCUUUACCCGCUUUUACUUGGGAGAGAAGAUCCAGGAGAACAACAUCAUCUGAGCAUGCGUGCUCUGCACUGGCUCCACUGGCUUGCAUCCUGGCUGUGUUCACAGCCUUCUUUGCUGCUUCCAUCUUCCCUAGCACUGUGCCAGGCCUUCUCCCCCUCCCCAGUGUCCUCUCCUCUCAGGCAGGCCAUUGCACCCAUAUGGCUGGGC
RNAcentral lists this small RNA (674 nucleotides) under Pan troglodytes (chimpanzee). RNAcentral's name for it is "retained intron". Lineage: Eukaryota; Metazoa; Chordata; Mammalia; Primates; Hominidae. The record is from RNAcentral.